AGCAGCCGCGGUAAUUCCAGCUCCAAUAGCGUAUAUUAAAGUUGUUGCAGUUAAAAAGCUCGUAGUUGAAUUUCGGGGUCAGCAGGUUGGUCGUGCCAAUGGUAUGCACUGGCCUUGGUGAUUCCUCCCUCUUGUAGAACCGUAAUGCCAUUAAGUUGGUGUUGCGGGGAAACAGGACUGUUACUUUGAAAAAAUUAGAGUGUUUAAAGCAGGCUAACGCCUGAAUACAUUAGCAUGGAAUAAUGAAAUAGGACGAUCGAUCCUAUUUUGUUGGUUUCUAGGAUUGACGUAAUGAUUAAUAGGGAUAGUUGGGGGCAUUAGUAUUCAAUUGUCAGAGGUGAAAUUCUUGGAUUUAUUGAAGACUAACUACUGCGAAAGCAUUUGCCAAGGAUGUUUUCAUUAAUCAAGAACGAAAGUUAGGGGAUCGAAGACGAUCAGAUACCGUCGUAGUCUUAACCAUAAACUAUGCCGACUAGGGAUCGGAUGAUGCUAAUUUUUUAAUGACUCAUUCGGCGCCUUA
Molecule: ribosomal RNA, 520 nt
Filed under: uncultured Glomus
Lineage: Eukaryota; Fungi; Glomeromycota; Glomeromycetes; Glomerales; Glomeraceae
Description: SSU rRNA
Rfam family: Eukaryotic small subunit ribosomal RNA
Source: RNAcentral